This 840-nucleotide ribosomal RNA is filed under the name uncultured bacterium. Its description in RNAcentral is "bacterial SSU rRNA". It matches the Rfam family "Bacterial small subunit ribosomal RNA", at positions 57 to 893 of the family's 1533-position model. The record is from RNAcentral.
GCAAGUCGAACGGCAGCACGGGCUUCGGCCUGGUGGCGAGUGGCGAACGGGUGAGUAAUACAUCGGAACGUACCCAGAAGUGGGGGAUAACGCAGCGAAAGUUGCGCUAAUACCGCAUACGUUCUACGGAAGAAAGUGGGGGGUCUUCGGACCUCAUGCUUUUGGAGCGGCCGAUGUCUGAUUAGCUAGUUGGUGGGGUAAAGGCUCACCAAGGCGACGAUCAGUAGCUGGUCUGAGAGGACGACCAGCCACACUGGAACUGAGACACGGUCCAGACUCCUACGGGAGGCAGCAGUGGGGAAUUUUGGACAAUGGGCGCAAGCCUGAUCCAGCAAUGCCGCGUGAGUGAAGAAGGCCUUCGGGUUGUAAAGCUCUUUUGUCAGGGAAGAAACGGUUCCGGCUAAUAUCUGGAGCUAAUGACGGUACCUGAAGAAUAAGCACCGGCUAACUACGUGCCAGCAGCCGCGGUAAUACGUAGGGUGCAAGCGUUAAUCGGAAUUACUGGGCGUAAAGCGUGCGCAGGCGGUUUUGUAAGUCUGUCGUGAAAGCCCCGGGCUCAACCUGGGAAUUGCGAUGGAGACUGCAAGGCUUGAAUCUGGCAGAGGGGGGUAGAAUUCCACGUGUAGCAGUGAAAUGCGUAGAGAUGUGGAGGAACACCGAUGGCGAAGGCAGCCCCCUGGGUCAAGAUUGACGCUCAUGCACGAAAGCGUGGGGAGCAAACAGGAUUAGAUACCCUGGUAGUCCACGCCCUAAACGAUGUCUACUAGUUGUCGGGUUUUAAUUAACUUGGUAACGCAGCUAACGCGUGAAAGUAGACCGCCUGGGAGUACGGUCGCAAGA